This 252-nucleotide ribosomal RNA is filed under the name uncultured bacterium. RNAcentral describes it as "partial 16S ribosomal RNA". It matches the Rfam family "Bacterial small subunit ribosomal RNA", at positions 524 to 776 of the family's 1533-position model. The record is from RNAcentral.
UACGGGGGGGCAAGCGUUGUUCGGAAUUACUGGGCGUAAAGGGCUCGUAGGUGGCCAACUAAGUCAGACGUGAAAUCCCUCGGCUUAACCGGGGAACUGCGUCUGAUACUGGAUGGCUUGAGUAUGGGAGAGGGAUGCGGAAUUCCAGGUGUAGCGGUGAAAUGCGUAGAUAUCUGGAGGAACACCGGUGGCGAAGGCGGCAUCCUGGACCAUUACUGACGCUGAGGAGCGAAAGCCAGGGGAGCAAACGGG